RNAcentral lists this long non-coding RNA (31342 nucleotides) under Coffea arabica (coffee). RNAcentral describes it as "long non-coding RNA (CARA_LNC007638)". The record is from RNAcentral. Lineage: Eukaryota; Viridiplantae; Streptophyta; Magnoliopsida; Gentianales; Rubiaceae.
CAUGAUACACACAAUGUCAACGUCUCAUCGCCUGUUUUUUUGGACUGAAUAUUGAUUGGCCAUAUCGGGCUCUUGAGCACUCCUUCUGAACCCCUAAAAUAUCUUUAAGCUACUGCGAAUUCGAACCAAGUCAAGACUAAAUUGCUGGCCUAAACUCGAUUGAUUUUCAAACGGAACUUGAAUGACCACAGAGCUCAUCAGACCACAGAAAUGGUAAUAGAGAAUUCUUUAGAUAAUCCUUAUCAAAUACGACUGAUGUACAAUGCUCCCUCCUUUAUAAGAAGAGGAAGCGGAAAAAAAAAAGAAGAGGAUGACAAAGUAAUCCAGGUAUAAAGUUCAUUGUUGACAAGACCCCAUCCCGCUUUCCUGCCGAUAGUGUUGUACUUGUGGAUGCCUCACACCCACUGAUAAAACUCAAAUGGUUCCAUUUGAUGGUUUUACGUAUUGCUGCAUGUGGAGGCCAAUUGUGUAUUUGUCCGCCUUGGCACCGUCUUAGGCUAGGGCUGUGAUAGUGCUUGGAGGGGGGUCUCCCCAGGAUUCGAAUCCUGGUCCUUUGGGAUAAGGGUCUUGGGGUUGAAGUCCUGGUACCACUUGGGCUACUAGGACUUCAAUCCCAAGACCCUUACUCCAAAGGACCAGGGUUCGAAUCCUGGGGAGGCCCCCCUCCAAGCACUACCACGACCCUAGCCUAAAACGGUGCCGAGACGGACAAAUACACAAUUGGCCUCCACACUGCACUCCCUUCAAGAGGGUAGUUUCUGGCUCCAACUCUACAAGCCUCCUUCAAGGCAAGAAUCUCCUACACAGUGCUUUCUAUGCUCCACAAGCUUCAUUGUCUUUUACGAUCUACAUGCAACACGUACUAAACCUGCUUUUACUUCUUUAUUCUGCGAGCAAACGUAGGAAGAGAAACUUGCAAACAUUCACUAAAUACAAUGAAAAACAUAAGACAGGUUUAAAUUGAGAGACCAUCAGUAGUCUGGUGGAAUGGUUUUACAUAUUUACAGUCCCAAGGAUUGAACAGACAGGUAAAGAGAUUAAGAAAGAUGCUUUGAUUCAAGAAUAUCUGCAAGCAAAAUCAGAUAUCUGAAGGAGUAUUAAUGAAACUUUACUAAUAAUGGAUGGUUAAAAGGCAAGUAAUAAAUGUGCCUCUUCCUAUUAGAGGCUCCAAACGUUUGUGCUGGCAGAGCCAAUCCUAAUAUUCGGUUUGUUGACUUAAUAUUCAGUUUGUGCUGGCUGUGCCGCUAGGAAUGCUACAAGAUGACAUCAACUGUUCUGAUAUCUUAAGAUGCAAUCCGGAGUAAUUUUCAACCUUUUUUCUCAUGUGUAAUUAUUGAUACAAGUGUGCCAUAUGAAAAGCAACGUUAGUGCAAGAGUCAUGAAAUAACACAUAUGAAGUGUUUGAUGUAAUACAAGCUAGUUAGCUUAGGAUCAGUAGUACUCUGGCUAGAAUUCUCAUGAAAUAACUGAUGCAUAAAAUCUUGCAAAAAGCAUUAGGCUGCAGCCUGUAGUGUUGCAAAGCAAAAAUGGAUUAUCAGAUUAUCUUUACUUGGUCCGUUGGCCAAGAUAGGUCGUAUACCCAAGCCAAGGUAGUACGCUGGCGUAAGCUCACAAUCACAUAAGAAGAAAACUAGUGAUCGAUGCUAAGCACAUUCCUAAAAAAUGCCUACAAUCUGUAUCUUUGAAACAUCUUAUUCUUCUAAAAGAUUUCAAAUAGUCGGGGAAUAUGCUGUAUAUCAGGUUCUAAUGUAUUACUUCUAGUUUUCACCCCAGCCCCAUAGAAUGCAAGAAACACUGAAUCAAACAAUCGAUUGUUGGAAAAAUUGUUGCAGCUACUAAUAGAUCUUAAAGUCAUUUCUACUCAUUUAAUUUCCUAUUUGCAGUAACAAAAAUGUAUAUACCUCUACUUCUGUGGCAAUAGAUACAUACUAAUCUUCAAUCUUUAGGGAUCUUGAUUUUGCAAAAGGGGAGAACUUUCAGCAUUGAAUACUGUGCUUCCUCGCAAUUGGUCCUCAACAACCUUCCCUUCUCUUGCUUUUCCCCACAUCACAGAGUAAAACCCAAUGACAAUAAGAAUUGACCCCACCAAACUGCAAAAUUUAGAAUAGUAAUGUAAAAAAUAUGCAUCUGUAAAGAAGGGGAAAAAGCAACACAAAGACAUAAGCAACUAGCACAGUUUUGAAAUUCAUUCAAAAGGCCUGCAUAAAAGUUAUGUGAUGUUAAUUUAUCUUGCAUACCUCCCAACAUAAAAAGCAUCUUUUGAAAUGAUAAUAUUAAAGGCAGCUGCAAUGACUAUGCCCAGGGGAUGAAACAUAGUAACAAAAAGGGGUCCCUUUUUGUGAACACACCAUGUAGACAAACUGACUUGUAGAGCAGAACCAAAAAUUCCCUGAAAAGACAUAACAGGAGGAAGGUAACCACCAAGUUAUAUGAAAUGUCGUUGCAGGAUACCAUUCCCGAUAAGCAACCAUAGCACUCAAACUCAGCACGUAAUAAAGCACACGAAGUUUGUUCCCCUAAGGAAUACGUAUGAUAUCUUGUUUCGGACUAAAUAGUCAAAUUUAGCACCAUUCAUAAUAAGUGCCAAAGCAGUCACAGAAAGCAACUGAAGAGGACAGAUGAUAAUUGCCAUGAUCUAGGUAAUUAAGAAGACAUGUUAGCUUGUGCUAAAAUGAACAAUUCCACAAGAAUGAGUGAGAAGAAGCAAGAUUCUCCAACUUAUGGAAAGAGAAGCUUUAUUCACUUACUGAGUAUAAAAUAGUAAGCAGUCUCAUAGUAGGUUGUAAUGUCCAAGCACUUAGUUUGUCACCUGAAACGAGAGAAAUCCCUGCAGAUAGAAUGGCCACAAAGAAGCAGUAGAAGAAGACCAUGAUCAAAUCUGCUGGGAAAUCCUUCAGGAUAAGUGCCUGAAAAAACCAUUAUGUGGAGAAAUGUUGCUGUCACUCCCAUUAUGUUUGUGUUCAUUUUCCUAUCAACUAGUGUCGUACCUGUACAAUGAUAAACAUUGAAGCCGCUAAACAGUCUAUAGCAAGAAAAAGUCCACCCAAGACCCAGUUGGAUUGUUGCUGGUUUAGAAGAUCAUAAUGGGUUAUUGGAGAUGAUGAGGCCAUCAGGAUUGGGAGGCCCUUGUAGAGAAUCAGAAUGAAGGCUCCAGCAAUUGACACUAUGGUACCAAUUGAUUUGGCAAUAGUACUUGAGGUUCUACAAUCUACUUUCUCCAUCCUAAAAUCAGUCAUUUUAGAAGAAUUAAUAAGUUAGCAAUUAACCUUGUCUGAACUUCAUGUCCAAAAUAUCAACCAAAAAAAAAAAACUGAUUACGACAAUCAUAGCUUGAAAUAAUGCAUGUUAGAAUGAUCUUUAAGCAGUAUAGUAAAGCUGAUAAUCUUUCCUUCAAAAGGCUGGAUUUUUAAGUUGGUUAAUUUGGUCAAAAGUAUCCCACAUCAUUUCUAUUCAACUCCCAACUGCUAGACCAGGGUUUGAUCCUGGCUGCCAGGUCUGGGGUAGGGGAGGAAUAGAGGAGUGGGGGAAGAUUGAAAAAUAAAUAAAUAAAAAGAACUAGCGAAACACAUGUAACAUUUUCACCUUUGAGCCAGCACCUGAAACUUUCUGGAACGAAUCCAGGAAUUUUUUUUUCCAAAGAACUAUACAAUAUCCAGCCAAGACAAAUCUUAUUUUUAACCAAAAAAGAGUCUUCUAUAUAAAAUUCUGAACUUUGUUUCUGAAUAUCCACUAAGAAGCAAGGCAGAAAAGUCUUAAAAGUAAAAUUAGGUAUUCACGAGGCCCAUCCUUAGCCAUUUUCCAGAGCAUUCUGAUUCUACUUCCCCAAAUGCAAGUCAAGGCUGGCAAAUGUAAAAGGAACUAGUAAUUGAACCCACAGGUCAAGCUAGUUAAACACGAAGUAUAAAAUGAAAAACCUGAAAAUUACAGCAAGAACAAAUGUGAAACCAGGGAUGAGGUUGAGCAUUGCAGAAGCAAAUGACGCAGAGGUAUAGUCAAUUCCAGCAUAUCCUGUUACCUGAGCAGUGCACCUAAAAAUAGUCCCAAAAAUCAGACCUUAUUUUCGUGAAACUAACUUUCCUUUAAGCAAAAAUUCAAUGAAGAUAUAAAAGGUCUACGAAUUGACAUCAAACAUACCCCAGAACACCCAGCAAGAAAAACCCACUGACCAGUUUGAAAGUGAGGGGAGGCCUAUUUGAUCUGCAGCGACAAAGAUAGAAGAAAAAGGGAAAAUUAUUGAAGGGUCAUAAGACAAAUAUUAAACCUCUGUAAAGUAAGCAGCUUUAUGUGAGUUUGGGUACAGACACCUGUGGGCUAGAAAAGAAGUGGGGAGGAGAAUUAGGGAAGCAAGAGCGUUGGAGUAGGUGACAAAAACGUAUUUGGACAUCCCAUUUGACAUGGCUUCUUUGCUUACAAUAAUUAGGCCUACUUGAGCAGUUUGUGCUAUUACCAUCCCCAAGUAUGGGGCUACGCUCUUCAUCUUCUCCAUGUUUUUCUUGGCGUUCUUGCUCUGCAACCUCCCUGCCUCUUGAAGAGUGUGUAUGUGAAACAGAGGGAUACGGGGCAGGAGCGGUCCUUCUGAGGACGACCGCUCCUGAACGGUCCCCUACAGAAACAAAGGUAAGGCCAGAAAUAAACCACGUCAACUGAUUGUUUUGAAGGAAAAAAACGUCACCAUUUGACGAAAGGAAAAAAAUAAGAUUGACGGACUCCGUUUCCUCUAAACGGAAGAAUUGAAAUUUUGAAAAUAAAGUUCAAAAUUUGAAUUAGCUGCACAAACCAAAACCGAGAGAAGAAAGCAAGUUGGGUAUGUCAUUGUUGCUUGGCUGACGUGAAAUUAGGUGGAGAGAGUUGGGUUAUGGCAUCAGAAGAAGAAGGAAGAAGGCAAACAGUUAGAAUGCUGUAAAAGAAGGCCAACGAUAUCUUCAGAAAUUGUAUGAGCAAUGCGGGCAAGACAGCCGGCAAGGUAGAAGCGAAUUAAAGAGGAAAUUCAUUAUCUGACGUUGCCCACCAUUUUUUGUGCAACUUAAUAGCAGAAGCAACUGUGCAUAAGGGCAUUCGGUGAAACAAAAAGCUCUCAACGGGCCAAGGUAACGUGAUUCAACCAUAUCAACAACUUUGUGAAUCUUAUACCAGCAACUUUUCUGAAUGUUAGAUUCAGUAAAGACAUAAUAUGAAGAUAAUAGAAGAAUAGUCAAUGUGUACUGUAUGUGUGUGUGAGAGCGUGCAGUUUUGCAGUGAUGAACUAUUUAACAAGUGAAUGAAUGUACAUGCUGCUGUAGAUAAGUUACAGGUUAUAACCACCCUAUUACAAUCUUUGUGCAUCCACUAAUUGGUCCAUGGUCAUCACGCAAUCUUAGUUUGCCCCUCUGUUGAGUAUGCAGUGUGUAUAAAAUGGAAGUCUGGGGUUUGACCUAGGAAAAGCAGAGGAAAAGAUAUAUGUGAAUAAUAAAUAGAUGUACCUGGUUUUGUAAGUAAAUUACAUGAUGUAAGAAAUGUAUUAGAAUGAGUAAAAAAUACUUGUUUGGCCCUGAAAAUGUAGAAAUAGUAGAAAAUGCACAGGAAUUGGCUUAGGCGAUUGUCAGUAACGAAUUACAUAACGUCCAAUGAAACAAAGUACCUAGAACCUAAAUAUAAUCACCAGAGUAGAUGUACAUAUAGUUAAAAUAGACUUACAUGGAGUGAAAAACACAUUACAGUCCGUAUAACUUAGUGUACAUGGAGUUAUAUUUGUACAUAGAUAAUGCCAUUGUAUUAGAGUAAAAGUAAAGUGAUGUGAAUCAUUAAUCAUAUCGAUGGGAGUAAUAAUAGAAUUUGGUAUACGAGUAAUGUGUGUAACAUAACAUAUUAUAAACGGUAAUACACACUUAUGUUGUCGUUUACAUACAUACUAUUCAUGAACUAUUGUAAAUUAUGGUGUUGGAUGCAUAAUUGGUAGGAGCAGAAGUAAUGAAUUGUAGAGAAAUUGGCAGAAGAUAGGACUCAUGAGUUAGGAAUGGAGUUCAACAUGGAAGAGGAUGCGUACAAGUUUUAUAACAAAUAUGCCUUUAAAAUGGGAUUUAGUGUACGCAAAGAUUAUUUAAAUAAACACAAAGACUAUUUAGUCUAUUUUAUGCGGUUGUCAUUAACGAAUGACAUAAGGUCCAGUGAGCUAAAGAAUCUAGAAUCAAAAUAUAAUGACCAGCGUGGAUGUACAUACAGUUAAAAUAGACUUACAUCGUGUGACCAAUACAUUACAAUCCGUAUAACUUAGUGUAUAUGGAGUUGUAUUUGUACACAGAUUGUGUUAGAGUAAAAGUAAGGUGAUGUGAAUCAUUAAUCAUAUUGAUAGCGUAAUAAUAGAAUUUGGUAUACGAGUAAUGUAUGAUUCAUAACACAUUAUGAAUGGUAAUAUACAUAUAUGUUGUCGUUUAUGUACAUACUAUUCAUGAAGUGUUGCAAAUUAGGGUGUUUGAUGCAUAAUUGGCAGGAUCAGAAGUAAUGGAUUGCAGCAAAUUGGCAGAAGAUGGGACCCCUGAGUUAGGAAUGGAGUUCAACAGCGAAGAGGAUGCGUACCAGUUUUACAACAAAUAUGCCUUUAAAAUGGGUUUUAGUGUACGUAAAGACUAUCUGAAUAAAGACAAAGACGGCGUGACCACGUCUAGGAGAUAUAGUUGCUGCAAGGAAGGUGUAAAGCGCAAGUACGAAGGUGAUGUGAUGCCAAAGAGGACACGAGCGCCGACGAAAACAGGGUGUGGAGCUAAAAUGGUUAUCGUGUUGUUUAGAGGAACAAUGAAGUACCGUGUGCAUGACCUUGUCUUAGAGCAUAACCAUGAGUUGCACAUUGCUCAAUGUGCGCACAUGAUGCCAUCACAAAGAAAAGUGAGCGAGACUCAAGGAUUCCAAGCUGAAAUAAGCGAGGACGCUGGGCUUUCAUUGAAACAGAGUCAUGAGCUUAUGGGAAAGGAGGCAGGUGGGAUGGGAAAUGUGGGAUAUACUCGGGAAGACCUGAAACGAUAUCUUCGUACUCGACGGGAAAGGAGUUUGAAAUAUGGAGAAGCAGGUAGCAUGCUGAAUUAUUUUCAAGAGCAAACACUCGAGAAUCCAUCGUUUUUUCAUGCCGUACAGCUGGACUGUGAAGAGCAAAUAACGAAUAUCUUUUGGGCUGAUGCAGGAAUGUUAAUUGACUACAAAUUUUUUGGAGACGUAGUCACAUUCGACACAACCUACAAAACAAAUAAAGAAUACCGGCCACUUGGAGUGUUUGUGGGUUUUAAUCAACAUAGGCAAAUUGUGAUAUUCGGUGCUGCCCUUAUGUAUGAUGAGACUAUAGAUUCUUUCAAAUGGGUGUUUGGUACAUUUCUAGCAGCAAUGUGCGGAAAGCGUCCAAGUACCAUACUAACCGACCAAGAUCAUGCCAUGGCAGCCGCUCUUUCAGUUGUUAUGCCUGAAACAUUUCACGGUCUAUGUACGUUUCACAUAAGGCGUAAUUUUAUGAAACAUCUUGGCAAUCACUACAAGGAAAAUAGUGAUCUUCCAUACAUGUUUGGUGCAUGCAUGUAUGAGUUUGAAGAAGUGGAACAAUUCAAUAGGGUGUGGGAGGCGAUGGUGAAGAAACACAAUCUUGAAAAUAAUGAAUGGCUCUCUGGGUUGUAUAGAAUUCGUGAUAAAUGGGCAAGGUGCAUGAUGAAAGAAAGAUGGACCGCGGGAAUGCGAAGCACCCAACUUAGCGAAAGCCUAAAUGCAGCAAUUAAAAAUCAUUUGAAACUGGAUCAUGACCUUGUGCAGUUCUUUAGACAUUUCAAUCGGGUGGUUGAUGAAAAGAGACAUAAUGAACUGAUCGCAGAAUAUGAAAUGAGGCAAAAGCUCCCCAUGGUCGGGUUAAGGCAAACACCUAUGCUUGUGCAUGCAUCAGAGACGUAUUCACCAACCGUAUUUGUUGCAUUCCAAAAUGAAUAUGGCGAGUCAACAGCUAUGGUUAUAUUGAGACAGCAAGAUGCAGCGAUGAUUGUGGAGUUUGCGGUCAUGAGGUAUGAUGGAGGACCUGAAAGAAUAGUGGUAUUCAAUCGGAAUGAUCUAAGUGUACGUUGUAGUUGCAAAAAAUACGAGAAUGAAGGUAUUUUAUGUGGGCACGCGUUGAAGGUGUUUGAUACUGUGGGCAUAAAAAUAAUUCCUCCUGAAUACAUUAAGAGGCGAUGGACAAAAAGAGCUCGGGUUGGAGACUGUUUUGAUCGGCGAAGACGGGAAGUUGUGGCUGAUCCUAAAAUAAUGAUUUCAACUCGUUAUCGGGAGCUCGCUCCCGCCAUGAUUAAAGUCGCAACUCGAACAGCAAUGUCGGAGGACACCAGCAAAGUAGCAAUCACUGUCAUAUCCGAUUUGGCAAAGAGAGUUGAGCUACUCCUCUCAGAAAGUGAAGAACAACCUUUGCAAAAUCAAAAAAAUCUGAAUAUGGAGGUACGGGAUAAAAUUGAAAUUGGGAAUGAAAUGGGGGAGGCAGUAGUCGCAAGAGGCAUUAAAAAACGAGGUGGUGGGAAGAAAAGUAGAGUGAUGCGAAGUUGGAUCGAUAAAUUUGACAGAGUAAAAAGAAAAUCUAGAUUAUCAAGGACUACACAGACUACGGUAUGGAUCAAAUUUUGGUACUCGGGGAACAUUUAUGCUAAAACUAAGUUAUCGUUAUGCUAUUAACUAAAGUUUAGGUAUCAUUCAUUAUGAAAUAAUAUUAUUGCCGUGUCAAUACUGUAGGCCUCAGAAUCGGAGACGACAUCGAUUUCAUAUGAGGAAUACAUGUUUAUGGGAUGUCGUUCAUCUACUGACUCUGUUUCGGUUAGUAUAAAACGGACAUGACUGUUGCUUUUAUUUGGAUGUUUCUAACAGCAUAAAUAGUUACAUUGAUCUUACAUUGUGUAAUAAUGUUGUUACGGCUGUCAUCCCUCAUGAUAUACCUAUUUUGUUUGUCUUAUACAAUGAUUUGGUCCAUACGAAACUCGUAGACGCAUUCAAUGAGCCAGACAGUGAAUGGCCCUCCAAACGCUAUUGCUCCGAAUAUCGAUGAAAGUGAAAUGGUAUGUAUAUAUUCAGUAGUUAAAAUAAAGACCUUCUUAUUCGUGUAGUAGAGCUACCUUUUUUUUAGGGUUAAUAUCAGAAACCUCCCUUGAGAUUUCUUCUAAUCACACCUAGAACCCCUCAUGUUUUCGAAAUCACACUUAGCACCCCUGGAAUGACAACUUUGGUAUCAUUGUCCGCCCCUCAUUAUUUUUGUUCCACUUUUAUCCUCCUUAUGAACUCUAUUUAUGUAACUCACAUCCCUCCACGCAAAGGUAACACUACAAAAUCGUUCUUAAGCAGUGUAACAUAUUUUGAACAUUUUGUAAUUUUAUGUAAGCUUGUUGUACAUCUUUAUAAUAGAUUGCAUUUCUGUUAUUAAGUUUUACAAAUAAUUCACAUAAAGUUGUACAUUGUUUAAAAAAUGUUACAUUGAUCUGAACGGUGAUAAAAAAAAUGUGACUAUGGAUUGUCAUAAUGGCAGCAAUAGUUUCAUUAUGUGAUUGUAGUUGUAAAUCAACUUGCUCUUCCAUUUUUAUGAAAAUGAGGUCGUAUAAAUAGUUUUUUGUGCAUUCUAGUCGAAUGGAGUUUGUAAGUUAUUAAUGUUGCGAUACCCUAUUAUCAAGUAAAAAUGGAUUGCUAAUGUUAUAUACUCAUGAAUUUCCAUCAUCUUUAAACUACUUUUAGAUUAUGUUAUUAUUCACUUAGAAAUUGCAAUUUUGGCAAUGGCACUAUAUCCAUUGCCAAAAGUCAACGUCACUGGAAACUCUAUAGCUAUUUAAUAUUAGGGAGUGGGAUAAGAACAAUUGUUAGAUCAACCAUCCCUAAAUCGUGUAAUAUUUUUUGAACAUUUUGUAAUUUUAUGUAAAUUUCUUGUACAUCGUUACAAUAGAAGUCUGAUAAGUUGUUAUUGUACAUAUGAGUCCAAUAUGUAAUAAUCGUAUUUGUGUUGAUAAAUUUUACAAAUAGUUCAAUUAGAAUUACACUUUGUACAAAAAAUAUUACAUAAUUACAUAAUAGUUUUACAUCAUUUAGGGAAAAUCUCAAGGGAGGUUUCCGAAAUUAACUCUACAUAAAUAGAGUUCACAAGGAGGGUAAAAGUGGAACAAAAAUAAUGAGGGGCGGACAAUGAUACCAAAGUUGUCAUUCCAGGGGUGCUAUGUGUGAUUUCGAAAACAUGAGGGGGUUGUAGGUGUGAUUAGAAGAAACCUCAAGGGAGGUUUCUGAGAUUAACCCUUUUUUUAUAGUAUUGUAAUGGGGAUACGGGGCAGGAGCGGUUCUCUCCUUGUAAUGGUGGGCACCCGAAAGCUGUCAAAUCAUGCCUAAUUGUGUAGUUAACGUAUGCUCGCUUUAAUAACAUAUUAUUUUUUAUUAUUCGAAGGUUCACCGUUUGGCUAAUCAGGGACCUCCUACAAGUGUCCCUACAGAAUAGAUGCAUCCCAAAUUUUCUAUUUUGUUCAAGUAUAACUCUGUUAGAGAUGUCUUAAUGGUCCGAUAUAUCAUUUUCAUUAUAAUGUCUAGUCCAAUUUAACUUUAUAAGUGAGCAAUAUUGGCAUUGGUAAUGAUUUGUUGACAGUCGAUUACUUAUACUAUGUAAUGUAGGAGGAGCGUGCAGCACUUUUAACACACUGUGAUGUUGAUGCAUAUCAUGUAUUUGCACCUUCACCCCAGGUGAUAAACUUUUAUCGUUGCAACACAUAUUUAUGUACUGUUGUUAAUUGGAGACUUGGACAUCGUAUAUCAUUAAUCGUAUGUUUCAUUGAUAAUAUUGCUGAUUCACCAUCGUUACGCAUUUCAGGGAAGAAAUAACACCCAGGGAUUGCAACUUCACGUUGACGUCGCCUCCCCCGAUAAUGAGAUUGAUGAAUGAUGUGUAACUAUAUUUUUUGAACGAGACAUUAAGUGGUUGUCCCAACUUAGGAAUACUGCAUAUGUACGUGUUACAAGCAGUUAAUAGGGUGUUAUAACUUAUUGACGAGGUUGUACAGGCACCAUUGAUAUUUCACUUUUUCAAAUUUAGACAAGUGGAUUACAAUUGUAAUCAUAUCUAGUGGUACUAAUCAUCAAUAGUUUGUAUUGGGUUAUAUAAAAUUGUUAGAAAAUUAUAAAGUUGGUAGAAAAUUGAAGUAACAAUUUUACAAUAGAAUUGAACGUGAUUUUUGUGAUCGGAUAUUUUUCACUAAAUCGACCAUAACCAACAAAAAUGGCUGUCGUGAUAUGUAUACUAUUCUACUACAUUCAAUUGCAUACCUUAAUAACAUAUUUAUUGGCAUAGAUCGCACCGCCAAAGGUACGAUGUAUAAGAUAACACAGUCUAAAGUAUAAAUUGUCUUGAUUUUGUACAAAUACUAAAUUCGAAUUAUUAUUGGGCUAUUUUUAUUAAAAUAUUAUCAUUUAGGCCAUUUGUUUUGUAUCGAUUGACGAAUUUAGCGCCCCAUUGACAUGAUGUAUCACAGGCACAUCAAUUGGUAUUACAAGGAUUAGGUACAAGUUUUUAGGUUAAUUGAAUUAUGGUCAAGCCAGGUCACGAGCACAUGUUGGUAAUAAGUGCGCAUAAGAAAAUGAUUCCUUGGAGAAUUAAUUUGUAACGUUAAAACGAAGUUUUACAAUGUCACAAAAAGGAAGAACGAACAGUACACAAUGGGUUACAACCAGUAAGGGAUAUGUUACUGUUGCGUUACAACUAGUUACGACUGUUUAACAGGCAUCACUAAUAUCCAAGUAUGGUAAGCAAUUUGUGGGAGUAGAGAUUACAAUGAGUAUAGUUUUAUCGCUACCCUCUUGAACAUUGGACUACAUCCCUUGUUAUCAGUUGUAUCCCAUACAACACCUGGGAACGCCGUCAUGCAUUAAACAGUGGGGUAUGUCACAGGUGCUGGUAGAAUGAACUCUGCUGACCGCAGAACAGUGCUCUUCUUUGUUGCACGUGUAGACUUGUGCUUCACCUCAACGUCAAGGCCUCCUACAAAAGACAAAUAACAUGCAUUUCAUAUGACAUUCAUUUGUUGUCGUCUAACAAAUUAUAAGGUAUUUUGCUUCAUUCUUCAGACACAAUGCAAUUAGCAGUCAUCAAACAACAAUCGAUUAUUUUUCAAAUGCAAUGUAACUGUCCUAAGAACUAUUUGUACAACUCUUCAAACACACUGUAACUAACACUUAUCAAACAGUUGUGAUAAAUUUUCAAACACACUAACCUCUCAAUAACUAAUUUGUAACAGACUUCAAUCACACCAUAACAGUAUGCUAAACUAACUGUUUCUAAGAGUUUUCAAAUGCACUUUGACCAAUAAAUAAGUGAGUAUCAACCUACAAACACACAUUUAAACAGCAAUCAUUUAAUAUGGAGUUAUGUUUGAAUUUUGGAAACUGUAACUUAUCUAUUAAUUAUAAUGACUAACAGUCUCCAAUAACAUUCAACUUUCGUCUAAAUAAUCACUCAUGUAACAAGUUACAAACACUUCGUAACUAAAAUUCUUCAAUUACAUCACCUGCAUUAAUUAUGAAAUAGCUUUCCGGUAACUAUUGUACAAUAAUGUAAAAUAAAUUCCGUGACUAACGAUCAGCGAAUAUGGAGUUGUGUAUUCAAUAGAGCAAACUGUAACUUUCAGGUUACUAUUUCGUGACAAACUUCAAGCACACUGUAAACAUUCUUCAAACAUACUAAUUUUUAAUCUAUAAGUUUUCACAUUUUUUGGCAACAAUUUUUAAACACACUGUAGCUUUUCAAUAACUAUUUUGUAACAUUUUUCCACUGCAAUGUAACUAACAUUUUUUGAAACACACUAACUUCUUAACAUGAAUAAAGUCAUACUUUCAUAAUAUGCCUAAUUACGUUUGUUACAUCAACUUCAUAUGUGUAUCAUAUCGGACAGGGUAUGACAGUAUGCUUAACAAGUUUUCGAUGAUGACAAGCCAGAGUUCAGACCCGUGUAUCUGGCAUCAUGAUGGUAUAAACACAGUUACCGUAUAUGAUAAUAGAUGUUACAGUCAUACUACAUGAAUUACAAUCUUAUGAAUAAUAACAGUAUACCAACCUUUCCGCUUUCGACCAUAUGAUCGCAACUUUCGUGGCAUUUCUUGCUCAAGCAGAUGUGACGUCGAUGCACUGGCGUGCAAAGGUGGUUGCACCGUACAUUGACCCUCUUCGGCAGGUUCUAUGACGUUUGACCUGUAUUGCUCCUGCUCUUGCUCUUGAAGCUGUAUAAUGCUUCCUUGCGCAGUUGUUGUCAUGGUGGUCCCUUGUUCCAAUCCGCGACUGAUGUUAUCGGGUACGACUGAUGAGGUAGGAAUUGGAUUCUCCACGUCCAUUACAUCUUCAUUCAGCUCUGUAUCUUGGAUACCUUCAAUAUUUGUCCUCGUAUUGCCAUCGUCUUUCUCGGCUUGCGCUGCAUUAUGCUCGUCUUCAUCAGAUCCUUCCGCAUCAAUUUCUUCAGCAUCAUCAUCCUCGUCGUCUGCCCCUUCUUCGGCAGAUUGAAAUUUCGGCUCUUCUUCGGUGUCAGGACUCUUGUGCAUUGUAUAGUCCUCCUGUACAGGUUUUUUUCCUUUGUCCAAUGCUUCAGUCCCAGAAGUGGAAGCUUUUGCUCUCGGCUAAGAGGAGAAGAUUUCUGCAAUCUUCAAUAUCCUUCGUUGGCUACUAACAGCAAUGUUAUACAGCUCAUUUAGCUCAGCCUGCAGUUAGAUGAUGAAAUUAUCAAUCCAUAAAUGAGCCACAUGCUCUCAACAAUUUCAUACAAUACAGGCAUAUACAAUAGUACAUUUACGCAACGGUUCUUAAUUUAACAUUUGAAUUGCGGCCAUAGGUUCUAUACCUGUAACUUAUAUACUAAAAAAUAAAAUGAUCAACCGGGAUCAUUGAAACUUCAUACAUUUAUAACAUGAUUGGCCAAGAGAUCACUAUAUUUCUGUAUUUCCAUUCAUGUGACUUAAUUUUUAAAAACUCUCUAGACAGGGAUGUAAUAUUGGGAUUGGUAUCACAUAUUAACAUGAUACUACAACAUGAAUGAAGUUGAUAGGCCUAUCAAUAACCAAUAACGUUGCUUACAAUAUGCAGUAAUUACGUCUAAUCAAACAACAAAUUUCAUUAAAUCAUGGAACAGACCCACUUACACCGAUAUCGGCGUGCCCGCUGUUCAUCAGCAUUCCUACCAAAUCAGGGGGUAGUUCAGUACUCUGCCCAUCAUAUUCAUUAUCUUCCGGAUCAUAUUGUCCAAUCUUUAACAACAAAUUAAACCAACCAUUUCAAUAGAAAAGCCACGCAAUAUAUAGACCACUACCUUUUAUAUGAAAUGAGAUCAAUAAUAUAUAACAUUUUACCAGUUUUCCUUUUCCAUAAGCUCCAAGAUUUUUAAUCUCAAGUGCAUCCCUUUCAGAGAUCAGAGCAUCUGUCCAUGCCUUAGCUCGCGGAGUAGUCCUCGACACUUUAUGCUUCAGUAUUUGUACCCGAUCAAGAUAAUGAAUCUGCAAUACAAUACAGUAAUUAAUUCAACUGUAGAUAAACUUGACCACACUGUUAAAACAUCAUCGUAGAUGCAUUCAUUUGAGCAUAAUCUAAUCAAUCCAUCGCACUGAAUUUGAUAAAAUGUGGAAAUACAGACAGUAUUUAUGAAGGCACGCAAAACUAAUUGACUCUCUGGUGCACUGUGUAACAAUUAGAGCAUAUUUUCGUCAUGACUACAACUAUCUAAUCUUACCAGCAGAACGAAGAUACAACCGCCAACGUAUUGGUGCUGCUUUUCAUUUUUCUUUUGCACCUCUAGCACCUUAUUGCAUAGUACGAUCCUCACAUACUCAGCCCAGUUCAAUCUGGCUACCCUAUCAACCAAUUGCGUACAGUUCCAAACCUUUAUUUUGUGCUCGGCUCUAGUGGUUGGAGCCAGUAGACAUCCACAAGAAAAUACCACGAAUAGUCUUAAGAAUUCUUCCCCUGCAUUCAUGGCUACCAAUUCAUUUGGGAGCUCAUUCCAUUUGUAUGUCCUACGACUUGGUCCAGUUCCCCCAACCUCGGUUGUAUCGGUGUCUUCAACUGGAACGGGACCUUCGUUCGGGAUCCUCAGGAUUAAACUGAUAUCCUUUGACGUUAAAGGUAGCACACCAUCUCCAUGUACAUUUAAACUGCUCAAUAUCGGAUUAAAGUUGUCAACAGCCCUCCAAAGUUAUGCCACUAGGAAUCCACUGACACUGUAUGUCUAGCAGCCCUCCAAAUCUUAUGUCUCUAAUCUGCUGCUUCUUAGUUUCAUCGAUUCGUGAAACUAAACUUGACAUCUGCUUUGGCGAGCAUCGGAUAGUGUACUUCUGAUUCUACACCAUUUUUUAGAUAUAUGCAUUAGACUAAUAUAAGUCUCAUUAAAUGUUUGAUGAAUCAUGCCGUAUAUUUACCUUGAUUUGAACCCGUGCUUUUCGCAAUAUCGGCUUUCCUAGACGUUCCAUUUCUUUCUCAUACUCUUCUUUCUCUUUCAAAUAUUCCUCCUUUCGCUUCCUCAUUUCUUCCUCCCUCAACUUAUUAUAUGCUGCCCGGGCAAUGUCAUUGUACUGCAUUGAAUAAAUAAAUUCAAAAACCACGUUAGACUAAACACAAAAUAAUUGCUCGUUUCACUAUUUUUCCCUUAGGCACCCCAUCAGUUCAAUGAUUCUUCAGUUUAUUUUACUAGGACAGCAUACCUCGGUCAGCUUAACACCCUUCGCCGAAAUCGUGUGUUGAUACUCUUUCCUGUCCACAUUCAAAACUCCAAAGUUAUAUGUGCUAUUUAGUACCAUUAUUUUUCCCUCAUAUUCAAUAAUCUUACCUGAACUUCAUCCAUGGAUUCAAUGGUGGGACUGGUUCUGCGACCUCGCUUGUUCCCGCUGUAAUCAGUUCUUCCUCCCCACCUAAACGAUCAUUCCUUUUACUGCUUCUUUUCCUUCCCAUCCUGCCCCUGAACAGUCAACAUUGUAAUGCUGAAUAAUGAUGCCAAGUCUAACCUGCCAAGACCUUACGCAAGCACUGGCCACUUACCUAUUCGAUGAAGUGGGUGCUGCACCGUGUUCUGUACCACCACUUGUUUCGGCGAGAUCUUCUCUGUCUGCUUCCUGAAGUGUGCUUCCUGCUCGCGUUCUUGCCAUUGUAAACUAAUGUUUUUAACAAACAUAUUGCACUUCAGUUCCAAAAUUUUUUUUCCAGCCACAGUCAUAACAUAUCAUGAAGUACUGCUAAACAUAAUAUAUGAGCAUCAAAUAUUAGUCACACUAGUUAUAGUACAACCUGUAACAAUUUUUCUCACACUCAGUAACUCAUUCUUCACAGUUUGUUAUUUAUUCCAACUGCCACUAAUCUACAUAAUCUGUUGUUCUACCUAUCAGAUUGUACUUCAUCCAUCAAUUUCUUCUUCUAUUUAUUAUGCUACUGUACAAUACCAAUGCAGUAGAGUAAGGGGUCAUCCAAAUUUAUAGUAUCUUCAUGAAAUUCUAUAGACCAGUUCUAUUAUUGUAACUUCUGAUCUAUUACGUGUAACAACUAUCAAAGAUGAUGUCCAACCACAACAAUUAUUGUACAAGUAAUCUUCCUUUUCACAAUUUGUUUGUCUCAAUACCAAAUUUUCUGGUUAAUUAUCCCUCAUUUAGUCAUUUCAUAAUCUAUUCCUCUGCCUAUCAAGUUCAAUUCAAUCACAUUCUCCUUUAUUUAUCACCCUCUUCAACAAUAUAAAUGAAGCAACAAACCCGUUAAACAAUUUUACUUCAUUGUUCAUCCAAUUUUACAGUGCACUUCUCCUAGUGUCACUAUUAAAUGACUGCGUGUAAUGACUAUCCAACAUGAUGUGCACCUACAAUAACUAGUAAGAUUCUUAACCGUUAUUCCACACUAACUAUGCUAAACCUCAUGAUUUGUUAUUCCGUCUGUCUCACAUUGCCAACUUAUAACCUACUCUCGUACUCAUUCACUUCCAGCCUAGAAACUUGUCUCUCUUUAUGCAAGUAAACCAAUAACCUGUAACAUCAACGUAAAAGAAAAUAUGAGAAGCACAACUGAGUAUAAAACAUUAAAACUCUGUUAUUUCUCUGUACCUGUUAAACCACAACAUGUAACAAUUAUCCAACACUGUGUUAAUGCACACGCCCUAAUACAAUAAACUUACACCAAUCAAGACACAAAUACGACAUCUCAAUUUCAAAAUAACAUUUUCAUUAGCAAGUAUGAGACGCACAACUCAGUACAAAACAUUUGAACUCUAUUAUUUUUAUGUACCUAUCCAACCACAACAUGUAACAAUUAUCCAACACUGUGUUCCUGCAUACGAACUAAUAUAAUAAACUUACACCAUUCAAGACCCAAAUACGACAUCUCAAUUUCAAAAUAGCAUUUUCAUUAGCAAAUAUGAGACGCACAACUCAGUACAAAACAUUUGAACUCUAUUAUUUCUAUGUACCUGUUCAACCACAACAUGUAACAAUUAUCCAACACUGUGUUCGUGCACACGAACUAAUACAAUAAACUUACACCAUUCAAGACCCAAAAAUGCCAUCCCAAUUUCAUGAUAACAUUUUUUCAAUUGUAAUCUGCAUCCAUUUUUUCAAUACUAACUAUCGAACCCAUGCACACAUUUUCUCAAGCAGUUGUGCCGCACGAUUUCCCCCUUCUUUCCCACUCUCACUCUGUCAUGCUCAAAAACUAACUCAUAAUACUCCUAUCAUGCUGCACUUACUCAUUACUAUACACAAAAUUGUGCUCACGUGAUAUCCCUCUAAGCGAUCAUCCUACUGUACGCCAACAACAUCCACAAGUAAGGUCCUUCAACAAGCAUGUCAAAUCAAGCAUGUCCUUCAACAAGCAUGUCAAAUCACACAUGUUACUGCAUCAUCGUAGGCCUCAAAAAAAUUUGAAUACCUGACUGAUUUUCGGUCGUUCACUACUCCCGCGCCUACGAUCUUCCGCUCUUCAACCUUGGGUUCACCUUUCUUCUUCUUAUAAUAAAUCCGAAUCACCAGAAAUUUGUCCACCACUCCACCACUUCUUGCUUCUCCUUGCUAUUUUUUCAGUAUCCAAUGUUGCACUUCCACAGCUUUUCGCAAUGUCACGCCGGAGAGUGUUGCCAAUCUCAUAUUUUCCCCUCUUAUUUCUCCCUUCGUGGCUUUUCGCAUGCAACUGCUUCGUCUGGUUUGGGUGGGAGUCUAAGUGCGGCUUUUCAUUUUCAACCUUUCGGUUUGGGCGGGACUUUGCUUACUAGUGGUCAUAACGUUCCGUUUCUUGUCGUUACGGUCAGCAGAGUAUAACCAUUUUUUUUACUGUCUCACUUAAUAAAACGACGUCGUUUUGGGCCAAACUGAAGCCUUUUGACGUGGUUUAUUUCUGGCCUUACCUUUGUUUCUGUGAGGGGACCGUCCAGGAGCGGUCCUUCUGAGGACCGCUCCUGCCCCGUAUCUAGGGCUGUUAAUCGAACCGGGCAGCUCGCGAGCCGAGCUCGACCCGGCUCGAUAAGAGCUCGGCUCGGCUCGUUUAGAGAGACAAACGAUCCGAGCUCGAGCUCUACUUAGUACUCGUUUAAGCUCGUUAGGCUCGAAGGGUAGGGGCAUUUUUGUCAUUUCAAUAUAUAUGAGGUAUUUUAACCAAAGUCAUCUCCAGUCUCCGCCUGUAGCCCUAAUUUUUUUUCCUCUUUUGGUCUUACGUUUUUCCCUCCCACAGCCGUCACCCUCCAGCCGCACCCCGCAGUCGCACCCCGCAACCUCCAUUCUCACGCCGCACCCAGCAGCCUCCAUUCUCACCCCGCACCCCACAGCCUCCGUUCGUUUGUUUUUUUUUGCAAUGAAUCUCUCUGAAGUUGGCGCGAUUUGUUUUUGCAGAAUAUGCUUACACGCUGCAAGUCGAUGAGAAGAGUGAUAUUUAUAGCUACGGCGUGGUGUUAUUGGAAAUCUUGACCGGGAAAAGAUCUGUGGAUGCAGAAUUUGGGGAUGGCAAUAGUAUAGUAGAUUGGGUGAGGUCUAAGAUUAAGAGUAAAAAUGGUUUUCUUGAUAUUCUGGACAAAAAUGCUGCUUCGUCGUGUGCCUCCAUGAGGGAGGAAAUAAUGCUAGUGCUAAGAAUUGCAUUGAUCUGCACCAGUCGAAAUCCGGCUGACCGUCCAACUAUGAGGGAUGUAGUAUCAAUGCUGCAAGAGGCCAAGCCGAAGAGGAAACUGCCCGGAGGCGGCGAAGAAAUUGGCACCGCUUGUGAUGCUGUUCCUUUGGUACAAAAGCCGGCAUCUAUAAUUGAAUGUUAAUAGGAUUGGGUUUUUUAUUUUUUUUUUGGGUUUUUUUCUUCACUUUUCAAAUUUUGAUUGUGGGGAUUGAUAUAGGAAUUUUUUUUCCCUCUUAUUUCCACUUCCAAGUGUUCUGAUUCUAUCACUUGCCGUGACUAGGCUUGUUAAAUGGUUCUUAAUAUAUGCGUGCAAAUUUCAUAAGCAUUGUACCCUUGAUGAGGGAUAGAUUGAGGUUUUUGCGAGCUCGAGCUCGAUGAGCUCGGCUCGAUUUUAAACUCGAGUUCGAGCUCGAGCUCGAGUUUUCUACUAAUAUAUCGAGUCGAUCUCGAACGCCUUGUAAAGCUCGAAUUACUAAUCGAGCGAGCUCGAGCUAGCUCGAUUAGAGGUUCGAGUCGAGCUCGAUUGUCCUAUGCUCGAGCUCGACUCGACUCGUUUAACAGCUCUACCCGUAUCCGAAACAGAGGCAGCAGCAAGCUUUCUGAAGAUGCGAAACUAGACGUUUAAUUUAUUUACUUUUUACUUUUACAUCCGUAACUUACUCUGCUCCUGUACUUAUAUGAAUUUGAGAAAAUUACAUGAUGUGGUAAAUGAUGGGAGACAAGGACUUAAUCGCCCCGUCAACUUAAAGUCUUUAGAGACUGCUAACAACCCAAAUUGCUGUUGGUUAAUUAGACAUUUAAUUGGGCACCACUUAUUCAUUCAUUAUUCAUAUUCCAACUAACUAAACUAAAGCGUGGUGUUUGAGAUUCAAAAAUCACGCCUUUGACCGAGCAAUCACUAAAAAAUUUAAAAGAAAAAAAGCAGAUAAGUAAUUAUCAAAUUACUGUAGAGUUAACUGUUCGGGUAGUCCCUGAGGGGGUGCUUGGAGGAGAUUAAAAUGACAGGAUUCUGGGAUGUUACAUAAAUUGGAUUUGUUUUUUGAAUUGCAUUUUUUCAUUUUUUUUCUCCUGUGGGUGGAAUAGAAGCAGUUUACGCUUAUGAAUUCUUGUUUGACAACUACAAAAUCCCUUUCCUUCGGUUUACAUCACAUGUUAGGACUCAGGAGUCUUACGACCAACUUCGCGUACAUUCAAGUCAACAACAAACAAAAUGUUGUUUAGUACUCGUCCAACUAUCUAUAAUGUGACUUUGGGUACUGAGCUUUAAAGAAAACAAGUACCGUUGGUGCGUUUGGAUAGAUGAAAUAUUUCACAUAAUAUUUUGUUUGUAUCAUAAAUAUAUUUUUCAAUUUAUCUUUUUAUAUUUUUAAUUAUUUUUUUGUCCCACAUAUAUCGCAUAACAAAAAGUAUUAUACUAGCAAUUAUUUCAAAUAAUACUCUAUCCAAACACAAUUAUGCACUAAAUCCAAUCAAUUUGGGGCUCUAAAGACACUUUUAUAUUUAUGCAUAUUAAUUACUGGCAAUCUUUAUUAUUUGUUUUUUUUUUGUUAUUCACUGCUACAAUUUAAAUUAUAAAUCACGUAGAAUUAAUAAUCUUGAGAAGAAAUUAUAAGAGUUAUGAUAGUGAGAUUCUUCUCAUUCCUAUGGUUAUUAAUUUUAGAUAUCCCUAACCAGAGUAUUAUUGAAAAAAGGGCAUCACUAAUGCGGAUAAGUUAGCAUAUACUAAGUUUCAAAAAAAAGAAGGAAGCAGUGGAUCUCAUCAACUAUGAUGUGGUAAUAUCUAAACUAGUAUAUGGAUGCUUGUGGAUGACAAGUACAUUGGAUUGAUCAAUUGAGAAUUUCAUAGUGUCAAUGAAAAAUUCUCUACAUGAUAGAGGGUGUAAAGUGAUCCUUAGACUUGAAAUCACCGUAACAUCUUGAGUAUUGACUAUUGUAUUUUGGCUCUAUCCGUUAUUAUUCUUAAUUGAGUAAUUACGCGGUAGAUGUUGGAUAUAAUAUGAAAUAUGGAAGGAUGAUGAGUGAUCAAUAAAGGAUUUACCACUCUUAACUAUAAGAGAGAUAUCCCUAUGGGAGGGCACUUAUAGGAAAUGAUAACCAAUAAAUCUCUGCACGGAGUGUAAUUGUAAUUGAAAAGUGUAUUUCCAAUUUCAACUUCAAGGAGUUGCAUUUUGGGAACAAGGAAGCAACAAAUAGUAUAAGAAUAAUAGAGGAUGACAUUAUGUACUAACCUUUUUUAUGUUAAAUAGAAUAUGUUUAUGGUGAAAAGAUAUCAAUUACACAGAAACUAAUUCAUGAAAAGGUAAAGUCAGUCAUUCGACUUUUCUCAAGAUUUGGGUGAUCAUAACACAUUGUUAGAUGUUAAAUGAUCUAUGAGUAUGAAUUGAUUAAUUAAAUUGAAUUAAUGAUAGAUUAAAAGAGUUUUAAUUUAUUUUACCUAAUUGAAACAAUGGGUUAUGAUUCACAUUCAUUGCCAAAUUUUAUAAUAAUCUAUUGGAUCAUACACAAUAAGUCAUCUUCUCCAAGGACCAAAAUGAAAUUAAGUGAGACUUAAUGAGUUAAGUAUAAGAUACUUAAGGGUCCAAUUUGUGAAGACAAAUGGGAUUCAAGGAGUUAAGAGGAAAUUACCUAACCCUAGUAGAUUAGAUUAGGAAAAUUCCCUUAAAUACAUCUUUUACACAAAGAGAACAACUCUUUCUUUUGAUGUGGAGCGGAGGGGCAGCCACAAAAGUCACGAGAUUAAGGAGAGAAAAAUCAGUUUUUCUCUCAUUUCUCAAUCAGUUUUUCUCUUAUCUUUCUCACAUUAAAAAGGUUUAGAUAAUGACCUAGCACUUUAUCUCUCUUGUGCACUCAUUUACUUGGAGGUUCUCCUUGAGAAAUUGGUGGUGCGGACUUCACUAGAGGCCAAACACUUGGAUGACUUAGUGGUGGCUUUGCCUUCGAUUGAAAGAUUCUUGGAGGCUUCACACAAUAUUGGUGGUGAUGUUGAUUCAACCAUCCAUCCAUUUACAAGAGAGAGUUUCUUCUUGAGAUAAUCUUCUUGCAACCUUUUUGUAAGCCAUAAGAUCUUUCAAGUAGAUCCAUGGGAUUGGAAACAAAAUUUUAAAUUUCUAUUUCGCUGCCUUGUGUGCUUCUUAUUUAUUUCCUUUCAAACUAAAGGGGAAAACAAAUCAAAAGGUUGAUGAAUUUCUCAAACUUAGAGUAAAAGGUAUCAUAAACUUCAUGCAGCAAUGUCUCCAUAGAAAUUGAUUCAGUUGCCUCAAGAAAAUGACUAGUGGGCUAGUUGGUAGACGAAUUAAUAACAUUGAGAUUGAAAAACAAGAAGGAAAGGAAAAUCUAUUAAGCUGUGUGUAUCACUUUUGGAACAGUAGAUUACAGAAUAAAUCCUUGUCAAGUACAUUUCCAGUAGCUUGCUGAUCUGAAAUUACAUCCAACUCCCAGGCCAUUGUAUUAGGAAAUGACACUGUAGAAACUUUCACAAUAUUUGCUUAAACUUGCUAGUAGAUGGCUUGCCAUGGUGUGUGCCUAGUGGAGCUAGAAAUUCAACGCAGAUCAUUUGGGAAAAUUUUUUGAAAAAAAAAAUAUUAUAUAGCUUUUUUUUUACAUGUAAUGUAUAUGAGAUAAAAAGAUAGUUGAAAAAUAUAUUUAUGAUAUAAGCAGAUAAAUGUGUGAAAAUAGUUUGCUAUCCAAACAUACUCAGAUGGGCAUCUUUUGUUGCAGCAAGAGACGGGUCUAGCAGCACCGCUUAUGCAUUUCUUCUCAAUUGCCUUCUUUGGCUAUCAAAAGAGGGGCAUUUUCAUUGCCUGGUUCCAAGCUGUUCAAUCCACUAUCGUCAACCGCCUUCAUUUCUUUAGCUUUUCCCCACAUCACAGAGUGAAAUCCAAUUACAAUGAUAAUAGAGCCUGCCCACCAAACUGCAAAUAGAUUGAGAAUUGUUGUCUGUGAUUGUUCUGCAGAGAAAAUUAGUUACUAUUACUUAAUCCUGCUUAAUGAUUACAAACCAUGAACAGAAACAACUAGGAACUAAUUAGAAUAAGAUCGGAUCCUAUGGUUUUGGGGUAUACCACAGAGAAUCUUAAUACCUUCCAAGAUAGAAAGUGUCAUGCAGAAAGAUUACCCCCAUUAUAGUUGCAAUGACAAUACCGAGGGGAUGAAAUGUUGCUGCGAAAAGUGGACACUUUUUUUUGUGCACGCACCAUGCACCGAUAGCGACUUGAAAAACAUAGCCAAAAAAUUCCUAAAUUCACAUUUAAUACGUGAACUGGAAGAUGUUAGACAAUCAAACAAAAUGUAGGAGUAGACACUACAUGACUCAUCAGAUAUGACUAUUUCAUUUGCUAGUACUUGAGGACCAAAGUGGUUAAAAUGGAGUGUUAGCAAAUCAGUGAAACAUGUUAUGGUGCAGGAAAUUUCGAUGCAUACCCAAUAUAUAACAGCAAACAACCUUGUCUUUGAUUUUAAGCUCCAAGCAUUGAGGUUUCUUUCCGGGAUUAGGUAAGCAGCUAAGGAAAGAACAGCCACAAAGCAGCUAUAAAAGAACAUUAUGAUCAACUCCACUGGGUACUUCUUGAGGACAAAUGUCUGAAGGCAUAAAAGUGAAGCCAUAAUCACUUGUUUUCUGAAUUAUAUACAUUUGUCUUGAAUCAAAGCCUCUUUAACACCAUUAAUUAACAAAUAGUGACGCAAUCACAGAAUCGAUGCCAAGCAGCAGUCCUCCAAGCACCCUACUUGAUGACUGCGAAAGAGGGUGAAGGGUGAGAUUUGAGCCUGAAGGGAUCAUCAGCAAGGGAUAAAGGGUUGCAAUCAAAGCAGCUGUGAAAGCUACAAUAGUCCCAAUGGGAUUGGGCCGGUGUGCUGAUGCUUCUGCUGUCCAUUAUUUCCAUCCUGAGACACCAAUUGUAAUUUACUGAGACUAAAACAUUUUGUUGUCUACUUGGACAAAACACUUAAUCCCCUGUAAAACUAGGAGGUAUAACCACGGCGUUGCACGGUGGAAUAGAAAGCAUGUAUGCCUAUUUAGGCAUUGUUAAGUAGGCAUUACAUGGACAGUGAUAAUGUCAUUGGAAUAAAUAUCUUGUGAUCCCUUCCAUGUGUUUUAUUUAUUGAGAUUUAUAUACCUUGUAAUUUAAUCAUGUUGACCUUGGUCGAUCAAUCCUUGGUUUUGAUGAUUAACAAACCAAAAUGUAGAUUUGGGCUAAUGUUUUUAUGUGAGUAAUUUGUUAGAACAGAUUCUUGUGGCAUAAAAGAAGAAGCAAAAACAGGGCACUCAUGUCGAACGCUAUCGGACGUCCGAAAGGAUGAAGAACAUCAAGAAGGAAACUCUGUCGGACGCUCGUGAGGAAGCAUCGGACGUCCGGAAGGAUCGGACGCACGCCUCGGACGCACAUCGAUCGCAUCGGACGUCCGAGAAAUUUCGCAAAUAUUUGAUGACUCUCUGCCUACGUUCGGACGCAGGGUUCGGACGUCCGACAGGAGGUCUCGGACGUCCGACAGGCCAACGGCUAGUUUUGACAGUAUUUAAUAUUUGACCGUUGGAGAGCCUUUUGAAGCCAUUUCUCACCUUCUAUAAACACCCCAAAGCACAAGAAGACAAGGGACUUUUGCCAACACAAAAUACAAGCUUACAAGUGAGAUUUUUGAGUAGAAAGAUUCUUUGUUGGUUGUAUAAGGGGUUGGAAAAGUUGGGUUGUGAGGUUGCUCAAGUGAAAACCUUGGUGAAGGUGAACCUAUCACUUGGAGUGGUAAAACCUUGGUGAAGGUUGCCUCAUUUGUAUAAAAUAGUUCUUAAUUGGGUGAGUGAUCUUUCAAGUGUAGGUUGUUGAGGGUUAACUAGAAUUGUUGUAAAACUCCUUGGCUCAACCAAAGAGUGUUUGGGGUGAGAAAGGAGUGAACCUUCACUUGUACAUCUUGGUUAGCAUCGCCAUCAAUUGAAGAGGCUAUUGGAUUGAUAUUUGGUUUGCAUUUCUUAUCUUUUCUCUUUAAUUAAGUUUUCUUUAUUGUGCUUAAAUUUGAUAUAUCUUUGUGCAUCAUUGUGAAAUUGUUUGUACUCAUUGGGUUGCACCGGACAUUACAAUUGGUAUCAGAGCCAGGUUUCUUUUGAUCAAUCUUAACCGCUUAGAGUAAAGAUCAUGGCAACCAUAAAAGUUUCUUUUUUAGAAGGGCAAUCUAUUGAUAGACCACCUAUGUUUAAUGGUUCUCAUUUUAGCAUGUGAAAACAAAGAAUGAUGAUUUUCUUACAAUCCGUUUAUAUUGAAUUAUGGUAUGUGGUAGAAGAUGGUCCUUAUGAAGAUAGAAUAGUUGACUCCACCACCAAUUUGAGUAGAUUAAAGACUAGACAAGAAUUGAAUGAAAAAGACAAGAGAUACCUUUCUUUGAAUGCCAAGGCCAUGUGUAUAUUGUACAAUGCAUUAGAUGUAAAUGAAUCUAGCAGGAUUAAAGGUUGUAAAUCAGCUAAAGAUAUUUGGGAUAAAUUGUGUGUAUUUCAUGAAGGUAACCAAGAUAUUAAAGAACAAAAGAAAUCUUUGCUUGUUUCUCAAUAUGAAUUUUUCAAAAUGCAUCCUCUUGAAAAUGUUGAUAAGAUGUGUAGUAGAUUUUGUGACAUUAUUGAAGAUCUUAAAUUGCUUGGAAAAAAAUAUUCUUUGGGUGAGAAAAAUAGAAAGAUUUUGAAUGCCUUGCCAAAAGAAUGGGAAAACAAAAUAAAUGCUAUAGAAGAGGCAAAGGAUUUAAAUUCUAUGUCCAUUGAAUCUCUUGUGGAUACCCUAACCUCUUAUGAAUUAAAGCUGAAAUUCAAAGUGCAAGAGAAAGAAAAUGCAAGAAUGUAUAAGAGAGGCAUAGCUUUUAAAGCAUCUCAAGUGGGGGAUAACCCAUCCUUCAUGGGUAAUGAAAUCAUGGAAGUGGACAAUGAUACAACUCCUCACAUCAAAAGUUCCAAGAAGACCUUCAACAAGAGAUGCUCAAGAGGAGAUUGCAAAAUUACAUGGGAUGAAUGCAAUUCAAAAAGAGAAAAAGAAGAGUUGGCCCAAAUGGCACUAAUGGCCGUUGAAGAAGAUGAGGUAAGUUCUUAUCACUCUUCUUGUGAUGAAAAUAAUGAAGAUGAUGAUGUGAAAAUUCUUAUGAUUAAAAUGCAUAAAAGUUUGAGAAAAUCUUAUGCUAAAAAUAAAGAUUUGAAAACAAAAAUAAAUGAUUUGUUGGAAGAAAACUCCAAACUGUUUCAAGAAAACAAAUGUUUGAGAAUGGAAAAUGAUGAUUUAAAAAAUCAAAAAAGUGUUUUUGAUUGCAAAAAUAAUUUGAAAAGGAAGUUAGAAGAGAAAACAAAGUUUUAUGAAAAAAUGUGUUAAAGAAAAGAAUUAAUGACUUGAACGAGUUUCUCCAAAAUGAAAAACAAAAGUUUUCUCAAACAAAAGAAAGCAAAUCUUUUCAAGGCACAAAUAAGUUUGCUAUGAUAAGAAGUAAGAAAAUUAGUUGCAUUAAAUCCACCUAUGUGCAAAAUACUUCUAUCAUGUGUAACUUUUGUUGCAAAUUUGGACAUAUGCAAAAUGAUUGCUAUGUAAAGAAAAAUAUGAGAAAAGGCAUGAAAUUCAUGUGGAUUGCUAGAUCAUGUCGUAUUAACUCCCAAGGACCCUAUAAAGAAAGGGUACCAAAUGAAAUUUCUCAUAUUUAGGCACAUCAUGAUGAUUUGAUCCAAAAAGUGCUAUAUGGUUGUAAGUACAAUUGAAAAUUUUGAUAUUCAAUAUGGUCUUGAUUUGAAAAAUAAAGGGGGAGUUUGUUUUUGAUUGAUGCCAAAAGGGGGGGUAGGAUUUAUUGAAAUUUCUUUGUAUGUUGGCACUUUCUAAGGGGGAGCUUUAUUUGAACUUAUUUGAUAAAAGAAAUCUUCAUUUUGUUUGUCAUCAUCAAAAAGGGGGAGAUUGUUGACAUUGGUCGAUCAAUCCUUGGUUUUGAUGAUUAACAAACCAAAAUGUAGAUUUGGGCUAAUGUUUUUAUGUGAGUAAUUUGUUAGAACAGAUUCUUGUGGCAUAAAAGAAGAAGCAAAAACAGGGCACUCAUGUCGGACGCUAUCGGACGUCCGAAAGGAUGAAGAACAUCAAGAAGGAAACUCUGUCGGACGCUCGUGAGGAAGCAUCGGACGUCCGGAAGGAUCGGACGCACGCCUCGGACGCACAUCGAUCGCAUCGGACGUCCGAGAAAUUUCGCAAAGAUUUGAUGACUCUCUGCCUACGUUCGGACGCAGGGUUCGGACGUCCGACAGGUGGUUUGGACGCAGGGUUCGGACGUCCGACAGGAGGUCUCGGACGUCCGACAGGCCAACGGCUAGUUUUGACAGCAUUUAAUAUUUGACCGUUGGAGAGGCUUUUGAAGCCAUUUCUCACCUUCUAUAAACACCCCAAAGCACAAGAAGACAAUGGACUUUUGCCAACACAAAAUACAAGCUUACAAGUGAGAUUUUUGAGUAGAAAGAUUCUUUGUUGGUUGUAUAAGGGGUUGGGAAAGUUGGGUUGUGAGGUUGCUCAAGUGAAAACCUUGGUGAAGGUGAACCUAUCACUUGGAGUGGUAAAACCUUGGUGAAGGUUGCCUCAUUUGUAUAAAAUAGUUCUUAAUUGGGUGAGUGAUCUUUCAAGUGUAGGUUGUUGAGAGUUAACUAGAAUUGUUGUAAAACUCCUUGGCUCAACCAAAGAGUAUUUGGGGUGAGGAAGGAGUGAACCUUCACUUGUACAUCUUGGUUAGCAUCGCCAUCAAUUGAAGAGGCUAUUGGAUUGAUAUUUGGUUUGCAUUUCUUAUCUUUUCUCUUUAAUUAAGUUUUCUUUAUUGUGCUUAAAUUUGAUAUAUCUUUGUGCAUCAUUGUGAAAUUGUUUGUACUCAUUGGGUUGCACCGGGCAUUACAAAUCAUUAAUAUACUUAAGAAUGUUUAGAAGAGAAUUUAAAAAUAGCUUUCAAUCCAAAAGCACAAUUGUCAAACAGAGCUUAUUACAUAGACAAUAUAGAUUAGGAGGAUAAGAUAAGCACGUAACUGAACUAAAAAUUAAUAUCAAAAGAAAAAAACAAUAUAAAAGGUAAUGCAAAAAUGUAGCUGAAGAGUGUACAAUCCAAGCUCAUGAUAGAGCUAACAAGGAAGAAAAAGGUGAAGCUCAACAGAAGGUUAAAUCAAGUGAAGCUAUUUAGAAGAACGAAACCAGUGAUCGGUACAUUGCAUCCGCCAAGAACAAUUGCAUCGAUAAUUUGGACUUUAGUAACAUAAUACUUGAAUUCUGAAUGUGUGAUGCCAGGGGUACAUAAUCUCUAUUCCAUUGGCUCCAAAGAUCAGUAUAUAUAGCAAAUGAUUUUCUUACCUCUUACGGAUCACUUGAUUAAGCAUAUAGGAUCAUGGAAAUCAAUUUAUAUGCAUUAAUUAAUAAGCAGAAAAAUAUUACUCAAAUCUGAAAGUUAGGUGCUUUGGUAGGUAAAUGGAGAAGGUAACAAGGAAAUAUACCAAAUGGUAAUAAAAUGAAUAUCCAGAAGCCAAAUGGUACAAAACCCAUUGGUGCUAUCAAUGCAGAAUAUCUCAGCUGUGUGUUAAUAGAUGCACGGGUUUGAAGCAAAAACAUCAAAAUGCAACUCCAGGCACAGACAAAAAAAAGCCCAUGAAUGCAUAAGUUUUACAUCUGUCCAAGGUUUUCUAAUGUCGACAUAAUCCAAAAGAUUUCCUACUACAUCAAUGCAGCUUCAAGGAAUACCAUGGAUAAAGAAAGAUCAGACAAGUCUUUGUUUUUUUUUUUCUUGGGCACUGCCAGAGUUAUCAGUUUCUGUAGAUUCCCCUUUCUAUCUCUCCAACAUCUCUAAACCUUGCAGUGAGGCGAACUUGUACUCAUUAAGAAGAUCAUUCUCCGUCUGAAUUAAAAAACGUGCCAUGUUAAUAAAUUGGAUAAGUGAAGAUUCAAGGGGGACGGAAAUGAUUAAUGUAAAAAAAAUGACCUGAUUCUCGAGUUUGAGCAUUCCGUUCUUCAGCUUGGACAAGUUAAUUGUUGGCGCUGAUGUGGAAAUCAAGUGACUGAUAUGGCUGGUUAGUUUAGUACUUCAAAGGGACUUGUAAUAUUUUGUUUAUUACUAAAUGCAAGACUUGAGAGAAGGUCCAUCUGUACUGCAUGAACCGGACAAUACUAACUUUGCUGUCGUUGGCGGAACAUUUGUUUAUUAGUUACUGUCGACAUUAACAUGGAAGCUUCUCAAGUUACGAGAAAGAUUCCCCCGAAAGUAAGAUGGGCAUUUGCAGGUUUCUUAAUUUAACUGAUUUACGUCGAUUUCUGAUCGGAGUGGAUCAAUUUUAAAAAGACCCUGCGUCAGGGAUCAGCUGCUCAAAGUAAAACUAGUGAAUACUGAUAAUUACACCCACUACUCGAUUAAGAAAUAUUGGGACCACUCUAUUUCGGGGAAAAUAAAAGGAAAUAAACAAAUAGUGGGACCACAUCAUAUAGUCAUAGAAUUUGGCAGCUGGAUCCGAAAAGAAGACAAGUUAUUAAAUUUGCCACCAUAGCCGGCCGGCGGAGAACGAGAGCGGAAUCCGCGCCAACGAAGGUUUCCAGACGUGACGUGGGAUGCAGAAAAGGAAUUGAGAAAUUCGAUAUCCCACCCCUACCUUUCUUAUUGUUAGAUUUUUACCCCAAAUGAUUUUUCAGCUCUAAAUUUCUCGGUUCUUAAUAAUUCUUUGCCACACAAUGAUGUAUUUCAAGUAAUGCGUGUUCCCUCAGUUUUAAGCACACUGGUUAUAAAGUCAAUUCGAGUCUUUGCUCGCACUUGUAUAUCUUUUGAAAGUAAUAUAAUCAAAUAUCGUUUCGAAAAAAAAAAAAAAAGUAAUGCGUGUUUCAAAUUUGUUCACUUCUUCAAUCCAAAUUCACCUAUCCAAAUCCAAGUGCAACAUUUCAUUCUUCCAAGGAAAAAAUGAUUUUAUUUUACGCCAUCUUUGAGACUGUUUGGUGCAUUCUCUUCUCAAUUGGCAUCUUUGGUACUCAAGAGAGGGGCCUUUUCACCCCCUGAUUCCAAGUUGUUCACUCCAUUGUCAUCAACCAGCUUCCUUUCUUUAGCUUUUCCCCACAUCACAGAGUAAAAUCCGAUUAGAAUGAUAAUAGAGCCCACCAGACUGCAAAUAAAUUGAAAUUCCUUGUCACUGAUUGUUUGCAGAGAAAAUAAUCACGACCCAAAACAAAUAGCAACUAUCCUAUAAGAAUGUAUUCCAAUCAAUUGCUUAUUGAAUCCAAACAACGGUUUUUUUUGUUAGAGCGUAAAUCGAAGGGCUCGAACUUGGACCCUCUUACUUAUAUUCUCUCAUCUCGAACCAUCUAACCCGUCUCUUUCCCUCAAUACCAAACAAAGGUAAUUAAAUAGCACUAAAUCAGGAACAGAAACAACUAGCAACAAACUUCCAAGAAUGUACCCCCCAAAAAAAAAAUGAAUGUACAAUCAAAUAUGAUAUUAGGGUUUGCAGGAAAGCACAGAGAGUAAUGUCAACACCUGCCAAGAUAGAAAGUGUCAUGGAGAAAGAUCACCCCCAUUGCAGUUCCGAGGACAACGCCUAUGGGAUGAAAUGUUGCUGCAAAAAGAGGGCCCUUUUUCCUCACGCACCAGGAACCAAUAGUCAGUUGAAAAAUAUUGCCAAAGAAUCCCUAAAAUUGUGUACAUUUAGUACAUGAAAUGAAGGAUGUUAGACAAUCAAAAAAGUCAAGAAAGGGCUAGAAACUUUAUGAGUCAUCAGAUAUGACUAUCUUCGUUCAAGAAACAAAUUCAUUAGCAAUCAGUGAACCAGGAUAAAUGCUGCAGGAGUCUUUACACGCAUACCCCGUAUAGAACAGCAACCAACCUCGUCUUUGUUUUUAAGCUGAAUGCACUGAGGUCUCUUUCCAGAAUUAGAGAAGAAGCUAGAGAAAAAAUAGCCACAAAGCAGCUAUAAAAGAACAUUAUGAUCAACUCCACCGGAUACUUCUUAAGGACAAAUGCCUGAAAACAUAAAAGGGAAACAAUUAUAAUCUCUUAUUUCUGAACUAUAACUGUCUUCAAAUGAUAGCCUCCUUCAGACCAUUAGUUAACCUGUGCAAUCAUAAGUAGAGAAGCAAUCACACAAUCAAUGCCAAAAAGCAGUCCACCAAGCAGCACAUUUGCUGACUGGGUAAGAGGUUGAAGGGUGAGAUUUGAGUGAGAUGGGAGCAUCAGUAAGGGGGGUCCUUGAUAAAGAGUUGCAACCAGAGCACCCGAGAUUGCUACAACAGUCCCAAUGGAUUUGGC